This is a long non-coding RNA of Fundulus heteroclitus (mummichog), 615 nucleotides long. RefSeq lists it as uncharacterized. The transcript is spliced from 3 exons. NCBI's taxonomy places the organism in Eukaryota, Metazoa, Chordata, Actinopteri, Cyprinodontiformes, Fundulidae. The record is from RefSeq and is a predicted model, not a curated record.
UGGCAGGUGGGCAUGACGCGCACCUGUGCCUUGUUCAGCAUCAUGGCUGGGAUUAUUUAGGCAGUGAGCUGACAGCUGGAGGACGCCAGAGUGUUAACCUUGUAUGGUCGCCUCACGCUCUGGACCCCGUUCCAGGCACUCGUCCUCGUGCUCUGACUUCCACGGUCAGCCUUCUGACUCUGCCUUACUGGAUCCCACUCCAGACUCUCUCUCGUGCUCAUACCAACACUGCUACCAACUUGGAUCUACUCCCGAGGCUCCCUUGGUAAUACCAAGCCGGGCUAAGUACCUCUUCAGAUCACCCUGGCUCGUCCAGCUGCUCACUGACCACAACUCCCACCAACGGUGCUGCUCGGACCCCACCACAGCUCCAUCAAACCCGCUCACCAGCCGCUCAGUCACCUGUUACCAUCAUAGAGGAUAAACUUACUGAGUCCGUCUUUCUGCUCCAGUUCCCCCGGCUAGGUUUCCCUAACUCAGCGAACAGUCUCAGUCAGACGCUUGCCCGUCGUGAUUCCUCCACGUCUGUUUCUCGCUGUACUGAAUACCUUAAACUGCUUUCUGCCUCCUGAUUGUGUUCUGCAUGUGGGUCAAACACCUAAAAAACAUGACACC